CAAUAGCGUAUAUUAAAGUUGUUGCAGUUAAAAAGCUCGUAGUUGGAUUUCUGGUGGGAGCGAUCGGUCUGGCGCUUAGCGCGAGUACUUGCAUCGUCUCCGGCCAUCCUUGGGGAGAGUCUGUCUGGCAUUAGGUUGUCGGGCAGAGGAUCCUCAUCGUUUACUGUGAAAAAAUUAGAGUGUUCAAAGCAGGCUUACGCCGUUGAAUAUAUUAGCAUGGAAUAAUAAGAUAGGACCUUGGUACUAUUUUGUUGGUUUGCGCACCGAGGUAAUGAUUAACAGGGACAGUUGGGGGUAUUCGUAUUCCAUUGUCAGAGGUGAAAUUCUUGGAUUUCUGGAAGACGAACUACUGCGAAAGCAUUUACCAAGGAUGUUUUCAUUAA
RNAcentral lists this ribosomal RNA (383 nucleotides) under uncultured eukaryote. RNAcentral describes it as "partial 18S ribosomal RNA". It matches the Rfam family "Eukaryotic small subunit ribosomal RNA", at positions 592 to 976 of the family's 1831-position model. The record is from RNAcentral.